UGUAAAAUAAGCUAAGCUAAGCUAUUGGGCUCAUGCCCCAAAAAUAAACAUAACGUUUUUUUACAA
RNAcentral lists this transfer RNA (66 nucleotides) under Sydaphera spengleriana. Its description in RNAcentral is "tRNA-Met". The record is from RNAcentral. Lineage: Eukaryota; Metazoa; Mollusca; Gastropoda; Neogastropoda; Cancellariidae.